RNAcentral lists this long non-coding RNA (6378 nucleotides) under Homo sapiens (human). RNAcentral's name for it is "HSALNT0361469". Lineage: Eukaryota; Metazoa; Chordata; Mammalia; Primates; Hominidae. The record is from RNAcentral.
AGGUGACUCAAUCGUGGUGCGGUUUGCCCCAUGCUGUUCUCGUGAUGAUGAGUGAGUUCUCACGAGAUCUGACGGCUUAAAAGUGUGGCACUUCCUACCUCACUCUCUCUCUCUCUCCUGCUGCAUUGUGAAGAAACUGCUUGCUUCCCUCUCACCCUCUGCAGUUUCCUGAGGCCUCCCCAGCCAUGCGGAACGGCCAGAUGCAGUGCCUCAUGCCUGUAAUCCCAGCACUUUGGGAGGCUGAGGGAGGAUUGCUUGAGAACCUUCCACUGGCCACUCAGCGAAAGGCAGCUGAUUCAGCACCUGGAGAAGACCGGCAACAGGGCUGAGUUUCCUUGCACUGCAGAGGAGGGGAGAGGCAAGGAGUGGACAUGAGCACGGAGGAUCCAGGGCACUCCCUUGAUGGUGAUGCCCUCGAAGGGCUGCCCCGUGCCCAUUGUACAGAAUGUGGAUUCCACCCCACGCCAUGAGAGCUCUCGCGCAGGCCCAGACCACUUUAUAAGCCAUAUUUCCCACCAAUUCCUGUUUCUGGAUCUGUCAGGUUAUUUCAUAUUUCUAGGCCCUUAGCUUUGCUUCCUCUUCCCUGAACGCCCUUUGCCCACAUCAUCCCAGCUCUCCUUCUCCUCCUGCCUUCUGUCUUCUCUUCCUCUCAUUUCUUGUCACCCAGGCUGGAGUCCAGUGGCGUGAUCACGGCUCACUACAGCCUUGAACUCCCGGGCUCAGGUGAUCCUCCCACCUGAGCCUCCCGAGUAGCUGGGACUACAGAUGCACACCACCAUGCCAGCUAAUUUUUAAAACUGUUUUUAGGGAUGGGGUCAUCUUCCUGUGUUGCCCAGGCUUGUCUCAAACUCCUGGGCUCAAGUGAUCCUCUCACCUCAGCCUUCCAAAGUGCUGGGAUUACAGGCAUGAGCCACAACAUCCAGCCCCUUUUCUCUUUUCUUACCCUUCUUUCCUAUUUUCUUUUCCAUUUUCUUUCCCUCCCUUCUUCUUUCUUUCCUAACUAUUAAGGAGUAGAUUGAAUUCAAGGUCUUUAUGUGUGUCAGUUUUUGUUUUCCAACAAAUAUUUCUUAAAAACCAACCAUUGAAACGUAAUGGUAACCACUGGCCCCUGUCUCCACCUCCACACCUAAGAAGCCCCAAAUCCAGAUGUGUCCAUUAAAAUCAGUCCAGAUCUUCUUUACCAAGCCACUAGAUGUCAUAUUAAUUUCACAGCAGAAUAGGGAAGCCCAUGCCGGAGCUGAAAACCUGCAACAACAAAAAAGCAUCUAAAUACUGCAAAAAAAAAAAAAAAAAAGAGGGAGAGAGGCAUCUUAAUAUUUGUCCUUAACACAUCAUACCAGACUUCUGCUUCCAGGAAUGACUGGAUGUGGUUUUUCUAGGUGGACAUAAUACAAAAUGCAGCUACCUGAAAACAAUGGAAAGUGGACAGAGCAGGCAGAUUCUGGUGGGAAGUCCACGCAAUAAAGAAAAGAUGUUACAGGAAGUGAGCGCCCAUUUUUGCUGUUUUUAGCUUGGAGGCAGGUGCAGCCAUUGUGCAAACCAGGUGUGGUGCUGGUGGAAAAACAGCCAUCUUUUUGGACUAUGAAAAUGGAAGGUUGAGUUCAGGGCAACUAUAACUGCCAAAAGAGAGAAGAAAGAGUUCUGGAAGAGAAAGAGCCAAAGAGGGAAUUCCCAAAUUCUUUCUGCUCCUGUCUGUGGCUGAUCCCAAACCACGGACACACACAGCAAAAACAAAAGCAUCUCAGCCAGAGACAAAAGAGUCUAAAAGAGACUGGACCUGCCACCUGAGAAACAGAGUUUGAAGUUAGAGUUCAAUCACAAAAAAAUGCCUGCUAAAACAAAAUAAACAAAACCUAUUAGAGAAAAGGUGUUCUCUUAUCAGAAUGUAGGGCCUCCACAACUUAACGUUUAUAAUGUGUACAAUCCAAACUUAUUCGACAUAUGAAGAACUGGAAAAGUGGGACCCAUUCUCAAGGGAAAAGAUAGCGGAGAUUCACUCCAAGAUGACCCAGAUGUUGGAAUUAUCCACCAAGGAUUUUAAAGCUACUAUUAUAACUGUUCUCAUGCUAUAAAAUCCACUAUUUAGAUCAUACUUAAUUGUGAAGAAAUGAAUUCUUUCCUCCUAAGAUUAGAAACAAGGACGGCAUGAAUACCCACUUUCACUACUAACACUGAAUUUUGUACGAAGGUCCCAGUCAGUUCAAUAUUUUUAAAAAGAUUUUAAAAAAAGCAAUAAAAGGCAUACAUAUUGGAAAGGGAAAAGUAAACUGUCUAAAUUUGCAGAUGACAAGGUCAUAUAAUGGUUUAAAAAAAGCUACUAGAACAAUAUGUGAGUUUACCAAGGUUAAAGGAUACAAGGUCAAUAUGCCAAAGUCAAGUGAAUUUCUAUAUAUUUGCAAUGAACAAUUCAAAAUGGAGUUUUAAAACAUUUUUAUUUAUGAUAGUCUCCAAAAUACUUUUUAAGAAAGAAAAUGACAGAAGCAACCCAAGUGUCUACUGAUGGAUAAUUAAAUUAUAGUAUAUAAAUACAAUGGGGCCGGGUGCAGUGGUUCAUGCCUGUAAACCCAGCACUUUGGGAGGCUGAGGUGGGAGGAUCACUCGAGCCCAGGAGUUCAAGACCAGCCUGGGCAACAUGGUGAAACCCCAUCUCUAGAAAAAGUACAACAAUUAGCUGAGCAUGGUGGUGCACACCUAUGGUCCUAGCUACUAGGAGGCUGAGGUGGGAGAUCACCGGAGCACAGGAGGUUGAGGCUGCAGUGAGCUGUGAUUGUGCCACUGCACUCCAGCCUGGGUGACAGAGCAAGACCCUGUCUCAAACACAUAUAUACAUACAUAUGUGGAAUACAAUGGAAUAUUUACUUAAAAAAGAAAGAAAAUUCCGACAACAUGGAUGGACCUUGAAGAUAUUAUGUUGAGUGAACUAGUCACAAAAGGACAAAUACUGCAUAAUUGUACUUUUAUGAGGCACUUAGAGUAAUCAAACUCAGAGACAGAAAGUAGAAUGCUGGUUGCCAGGGGCUGGUAGAAUGGAAAGUUAUUGUUUAAUGUUUAUAAAGUUUUAGUUUUGCAAGAUAAAAAGAUUUCUGUGGAUGGAUGGUGGUGAUGGUUGCACAAUGUGAAUGUACUUAAUGCCACUUAAAAAUGGUCAAGAUGGUAAAUUUUAUGUUAUGUGUAUUGUACCACAAUUUUCUUUACAAGGUCUCAAGUUGGACAUUAAAAUGCCAGGCAAUUAAAAGUAUUUAUGUUUAAAACUUAAUUUAAAAAAUAAUUGACAAGUAUAUUCUAAAAUUUGUUCGAGAAGGCAAAGGACCUAGAAUAGCAAGAAUACUCUUAAGAAAGGAAAACAAGUUUGGAAGGACUUAAACUACCUGAAUUCAAGACUUAUCAUUAAGAUACAGUAAUCACAACAGUGUGUUACUGGCAUAAAGAUAGACCAUAUGAGAUCAAUGGAACAAAAUAAAAGCUUUAAAAUGCACCAAUACUUAUAUGGUCAAUUGAUUUUCAACAAUGGUGCCAAAGUAAUUUAAUGGGGAAAAGAUAGUCUUUUCAAAAAAUGGUGUUAGAACAACUGGAUAUAUAUAUAUAUCCAUUAUAUAUAUACACUCAUUUAUAUAUACAUCAUAUACAUGUAUGUAUCAUAUAUAUGUAUAUAGCCUCAACUCUUAUUUCAUAUCAUAUACAAAUAUUUGAAUUGAUUGUAGACCUAAAUGAAGGAGCUAAAGCUAUUAAACUUUUAGAAGACAGCAUAAAAGAAUUUCCUUCCUUCUGCCUUGCCUUGCCCUGCCCUGCCCUGCCUUGCCCUGCCUUGCCCUGCCCUGCCCUGCCCUGCCCUGCCCUGCCCUGCCUUGCCUUGUUUUGUAACAGAGUCUCACUCUGUUGCCCAGGCUGGAGUGCAGUGGCGUGAUCUCAGCUCACUGCAGACUCAAUCACCUGGGCUUAAGCCAUCCUCUUGCCUCAGCGUCCUGAGUAGUUUGGACUACAGGCAUGCGCCACCACACUUGGCUAAUUUUAGUUUUGUUUUUUUGUUUUUGUUUUUUUGUAGAGACAAGGUUUCAUUAUGUUACCCAGGCUGGUCUCAAACUUCUGGACUCAAGCAAUCCUCCCUCCUCGGCCUGUAAUUAUUUCUUAAACAGGGCACAAAAAGCACAAAUCACAUAAGAAAAAAAGAUAAAACAGACUUCAUCAAGAUUUAAAGCUUUUCCUCCUCAGAUAACGAGUUGAGAAAACAAAGACAAGCCACAGAUUGGGAGAAAACAUUGGCAAAACAGCUAUUAAAAAAGCCUUCUAUCCAGAUUAUAUAAAGAACCCUUAAAACUCAGUAAUAAAAAGACAUACAUAGUAAGUAAUGGGCAAAUGAUUUGAACAAUCACUUUAUAAAAGAAGAUAAAUGAAUAGCCAACAAACACAUAAAAAGAUGCUGAACAUCACAAGUCAUUCAAGGAAGUGCAAAUUAAAAUAAUAAUAAAAUACUAUUAAAUGUCCACUAGAGUGGCCAAAUUUAAAAAAAAUGAAAAUCACCAGGUAUUGUGGCUCACACCUGUAAUCCCAGCACUUUGGGAGGCUGAGAUGGGCCAAUCACUUGAGCCCAGGAGUUCAAGACUGGCCUGGGCAACAUGGCAAAACCCUGUCUUUACACAAAAUACAAAAAUUAGCCUGGAGCAUAUCUAUAGUUCCAGCUACUCAGGGGGCUGAGGUGGGAGGAUCGCUUGAACCCUGGGAGGCCAGUCUGCAGUGAGUUUAGAUCAUGCCACUGUACUCCAGCCUGGGUGACAGAGCAAGACACUGUCUCAAAAAAAAACAAAAAACAAAAAAAAACCCCAAAAAAUAAAAAUGUGAGGAACUCUCACACAUUUACACAUUGCUGAAGGCAAUGCAAAGUGGUACAGUCAGGCCGGAAAACAGAGUGACAAGGUCCUAUAAAGGAGUGGUCCCAACCUUUUUGGCACCAGGGACCAGUUUCAUGGAAGACAAUUUUUCCAUGGACAGUGGGGGAAGGGAAUGGUUUUAGGAUGAUUCAAGCUCAUUAAAUUUAUUGUGUACUUUAUUUCUAUUAUUAUUACAUUGUAAUAUAUAAUGAAAUAAUUAUACAUCUCACCAUAAUGUAGAAUCAGUGGGAGCACUGAGCUUGUUCUCCUGCAACUAGAUGAUCCCAUCUGGGGGUGAUGUGAAACAAUGACAGAUGAUCAGGCAUUAGAUUCUCAUAAGGAACACACAACCUGGAUCCCUCGCAUGUGUAGUUCACAAUAGGGUUCAUGCUCCUAUGAGAAUCUAAUGCCUUUGCUGAUCUGACAGAAGGCAGAGCUCAGGCAGUAAUGCGACUGAUGGCAGGUGGCUGUAAAGAGAGAUGAAGCUUCAUUCCCUUUCCUGCCGCACACCUGCUGUGCAGCCCCAUUCCCAACAGGCCACCGACAGGUACUGGUCCAAUAAAGUGGAAGAUAUCCUUACCAGUAACCCAACAAUCCCUUCUCCUAGAGAAAUGGAAACACAUGUUCUCACAAAGACAAGUAUGCAAAUGCACAUAGCAGCAUUAUUCAUUGUAGCCAAAAUUUGAAAACAACCCAAAUGUCCAUCAGCUGGUGAAUAGAUCCAUUGUGGUACAUCUAUACUGUGGGAUACUACUCAGCAGUAAAAGGGAAUGAACUAUUGAUACACAAAACAUUAUAGAUGAAUUUCAAACACAUUAUGCUAAGUGAAAGGAAUCAAAUACAAAAGACUACAUUCUGUAUGACUAAAUUUAUAUGAAAUUUUAGAAAAGGCAAUAUUACAGGGAAGGGAAGCAGAUCAGCAUAUACCUGAGGCUACUAAGCCAGGUGAAGGGCAGGUUGCAAAGGGGUAUGAGAGGCUUUUAGCAAGUGAUGGAUGUGUUCUGUAUCUUUAUUGUGGUGACAUUUACAUGACUGUAUACAAUUACCCAAAGUCAUUAAAUUAUACAAUUAAAAUAUAUGAAUUGUACUGUAUUGUAAAUUAUACUUCAAUACAGCUGAAGAAAAAGUCAACAACAACCACAAAAUCACAGCCAAAGGGCUCUUCUCUAUGGCUGAAAGAUAUUGGGUCCACAUAUUCCAGAGUCCCUUGUACUCAUAUCAUGGUCUACUAUAUAAAUAAAUCAUAAUUUAUUUUUAAAGUUAAUCAUUGCUGAACAUUUGUAAUGUUUAUAAUUUCUUUCUUUUUUGAGUGGACCAAUGGAGGGGUGUAACGUUCUUCUAUGAGUCCCUGGAGCACUUUUGCAAGUAAUUCUACAUAUAAAAUGUGUUGGGUUAUAGAUUAUAAAUGUACUCAUGUUUCUUUUUUCAUAUGAUUUUAUUCUUUUUUAGAAUUUCAUUUGAAUAGAAUCCUACCUUAUGUAGUCUUUCUUAUUAAUACAUAAUAGUAUAUAUU